GUCUCCCGAGGCGCGGAGAGUCCUCCUGGCCCCUCGAGCUAAGAGCAGCCUGGCCCAGUUCUCCUGCCCUACUCUCCGCAGCUCCCAGAAAGGAUCCACCCCGAAGGGUGGAGGGCCCCCGAGGCGGCUCUGACUCACGCUUGCUAGCGUGGUUUCGACCAGACUUUCAACCAGAACGACCCCCGCAGUCUGGCCCUUAGCUGGGAGCUCCUGGGGCGGCUCCCCACCCAGACCCUCCCACCAGUCCAGACUCCCAGCCCCCGGCAUCUCCACCUCUCCACCUGUGACCCUUACCCAAUACCCAGGAAGAAGUUAAUGAAAUAAAAUGAACUCACUAUGGCCAAGCUGCUAAGUUACUAAAGUGAGGAGACGAGGGGCAAGAAUUUGGGAGAACAAUUUGGGACCUGGCAGGGGAAGCUGGGAAGGAGUGGCCUCGCUGGAGUGAGCCCGACCUGCAGGGAGCUGGGCACUGAAUCUGGGGAGCACCUACUCCAUUCCUCCCGCAGCUGAUCACUACAGCCAGGCUCCGAGGGGCCGGCUCUAGAGUGUUCUCUCUCCCUCCUUCCUCUCCUUAGUCCCACCCACUUUGCCUGGUCUUGCUUGCCUCCCUGUUUCCAUGACAACUCCAAGGGAGCCCAAACUGGGGGCUUGAAUGCUAGGGUGAGAGGAGGAGAGACGAGUGGGGGUACGUCUGAAGAGCUCCCCCAACCCCGCCUCGGUCCCUUUAAGCUCUCCCCCCUCCCUGUUCUCCCUCUGCCCCCCCACCCCCACCCUCCGCGGUUGUCUUCUCUCCAUCUCUUGCGCUCGCUGCUGGCUGCGCAAUCCCUGCACCCAGACUCCAGCUCCAGUUGGAGACCCCCCGACGCCAGCUGCAGAGACCCUGACCCAGCGAGACAGAGACUGCAAGCAUGUCAUCAGAAAAGUCAGGCCUCCCGGACUCAGUCCCUC
This is a long non-coding RNA of Myotis davidii, 948 nucleotides long. RefSeq lists it as uncharacterized. The transcript is spliced from 3 exons. NCBI's taxonomy places the organism in Eukaryota, Metazoa, Chordata, Mammalia, Chiroptera, Vespertilionidae. The record is from RefSeq and is a predicted model, not a curated record.